This 494-nucleotide ribosomal RNA is filed under the name uncultured bacterium. RNAcentral's name for it is "partial 16S ribosomal RNA". It matches the Rfam family "Bacterial small subunit ribosomal RNA", at positions 28 to 507 of the family's 1533-position model. The record is from RNAcentral.
GACAAACGCUGGCGGCGCGCUUAACACAUGCAAGUCGAACGGAAAGGCCUGCUUUCCCUUGUGGAUUGCGGGUACUCGAGUGGCGAACGGGUGAGUAACACGUGAGUGAUCUGCCCCCAACUUGGGUAUAAGCCUGGGAAACUGGGUCUAAUUCCCGAUAGGACUGCAGGGUGGUGCCUGUGGUGGAAAACGAUUUUCUAGUGGUUGGGGAUGAGCUCGCGGCCUAUCAGCUUGUUGGUGGGGUAAUGGCCUACCAAGGCGGCGACGGGUAGCCGGCCUGAGAGGGUGGACGGCCACAUUGGGACUGAGAUACGGCCCAGACUCCUACGGGAGGCAGCAGUGGGGAAUAUUGCACAAUGGGCGGAAGCCUGAUGCAGCGACGCCGCGUGGGGGAUGACGGCCUUCGGGUUGUAAACUCCUUUCGACCGCGAGGAAGCCACCUGGUUGGAAGGGUGGUGACGGUAGUGGUAGAAGAAGCACCGGCUAACUACGUG